RNAcentral lists this ribosomal RNA (369 nucleotides) under uncultured organism. RNAcentral describes it as "bacterial SSU rRNA". It matches the Rfam family "Bacterial small subunit ribosomal RNA", at positions 526 to 896 of the family's 1533-position model. The record is from RNAcentral.
CGGAGGGUGCAAGCGUUAUCCGGAUUCGACUGGGUUUAAAGGGUGCGUAGGUGGGUCUGUAAGUCCGUGGUGAAAUCUCCGAGCUUAACUUGGAAACUGCCAUGGAUACUAUAGAUCUUGAAUACUGUGGAGGUCAGCGGAAUAUGUCAUGUAGCGGUGAAAUGCUUAGAUAUGACAUAGAACACCAAUUGCGAAGGCAGCUGGCUACACAAAUAUUGACACUGAGGCACGAAAGCGUGGGGAUCAAACAGGAUUAGAUACCCUGGUAGUCCACGCCCUAAACUAUGGAUACUCGACAUACGCGAUACACUGUGUGUGUCUGAGCGAAAGCAUUAAGUAUCCCACCUGGGAAGUACGAUCGCAAGAUUG